AUGCUUGCAGAGUCAUCUUCAGAAUGAGUCAGCUCCGCUUGUCCCAGGCAGGAGACUCACGAGUUGAUGUGAAAUGCGGAUUCCCUAUGAGACGGAGGACAUUGCAUGUCUCAUCCCAUCACGACCGUGUGGGUCUCGUUAUUUCAUAAGAGAGGGGGAAAAUGUGAAUUGGAAUUUUAUUUCCUAAGUACUGUUCUUGGUUUCUGACCAGCUGAUCCCAAGUUUCACAUCCUUGUCUGUGAAGCUAAACUCAAUGCUGCUGUGUGGGAAGAAGAUUUGUAAAGAAAACUCUUAGGUUUAAUUUUGCCACACUUGCUAAAGAAAACAUUAUACACGGCCCUUAUUAAAGAACGUCUCAAAGGAAUCGCGAUAGGUGCAGGGGCCACUGCAGUGGGACUAGGCUCAACUCUGAGUGUAAGAAGAAAAACGGGAAUGUACAGCCACGGAGAGGGUGAGAACGGACGGAAAACUAUGAAGAGGCUACAUCAGGCCAGGGGGGUUCUUGCUAGAACCACUUGGUAGGAUUCGUGCCACAGGCAGGCCAGGUGAUAAGAUACCGAGGGUGAGG
Molecule: long non-coding RNA, 568 nt
Filed under: Homo sapiens (human)
Lineage: Eukaryota; Metazoa; Chordata; Mammalia; Primates; Hominidae
Description: CLN8 transmembrane ER and ERGIC protein (ENSG00000278220.2)
Source: RNAcentral